CGGUGAAUACGUUCCCGGGCCUUGUACACACCGCCCGUCAAGCCAUGGAAGCCGGGAGUACCCGAAGUCACUUUGUUAACCCGCAAGGGGGACGGGUGCCUAAGGUAAAACCGGUGACUGGGGCU
RNAcentral lists this ribosomal RNA (125 nucleotides) under uncultured bacterium. Its description in RNAcentral is "partial 16S ribosomal RNA". It matches the Rfam family "Bacterial small subunit ribosomal RNA", at positions 1360 to 1482 of the family's 1533-position model. The record is from RNAcentral.